This is a non-coding RNA of Terfezia claveryi, 89 nucleotides long. Lineage: Eukaryota; Fungi; Ascomycota; Pezizomycetes; Pezizales; Pezizaceae. The record is from the annotation of a GenBank genome assembly.
GCCUCCUUCACUUAGUUGGUAGAGUAUCAGUCUCAUAUGGCAAGAAAUGUGUACACUGAAUGUUAUCAGUUCAAUCCUGAUAUGGGGCA